Molecule: transfer RNA, 74 nt
Filed under: Trichonephila clavata
Lineage: Eukaryota; Metazoa; Arthropoda; Arachnida; Araneae; Nephilidae
Rfam family: tRNA
About the family: Transfer RNA (tRNA) molecules are approximately 80 nucleotides in length. Their secondary structure includes four short double-helical elements and three loops (D, anti-codon, and T loops).
Source: Rfam by way of RNAcentral
GGCCCGUUAGCUCAGUUGGUUAGAGCGUCGUGCUAAUAACGCGAAGGUCGCGGGUUCUAUCCCCUCACGGGCUA